Long non-coding RNA from Calidris pugnax (ruff), 683 nucleotides. RefSeq lists it as uncharacterized. The transcript is spliced from 4 exons. NCBI's taxonomy places the organism in Eukaryota, Metazoa, Chordata, Aves, Charadriiformes, Scolopacidae. The record is from RefSeq and is a predicted model, not a curated record.
CAGCCUGAAACUACGUUGUGCUUCCAGUGACCCUGUGGGAGAAGGGAGCUGAGGGGCACAAAGCGUGGGCCACCGGCUGGGAGGACACCCCACAUGUACCCAGUUAGGCGCUCCUGGACAAAGAACUGAUCAGAUGUUGGAAACAAUCCUAGGCUUGGCAUGAAAUGGUACAUGGCACCAGAACUUCCUGAGGACUCGAUUCUGUUUGAUGGCUUUGAUGCCUGUAAACAUAUUGACAUGUGGGCAUUUGUUCUUGUUCUACGGGCAAUAACAAGAGGAACAUUCAGUAAAGGAGUUUAAAGAAAAAGCUGAAGCAACGCUAGGACUUGGUGCUAUUCUGACAGCUUCUGAAGGAUUUGGAAUGUACCAGAAGGUUGGGAUAGUGAUUCAUUUAAGGAAGGACAAAGGAAAGAGGGGCCAAAAUCCUUUUAUAAUGCAACUGCCGAUGCCAAUCGAAACCAAUCAACAGUGACGGUUGGACCGUGGGGAGAGGGAGACCUACCACCAGGAUGAAUGGUUGCUCUUGAAGAAAGCCUCCAAGAAACAGGCUGGAAGAAAAGCCAGACAGUGGCAGAGAAAGGUUACCUUUUCAAACUAAUUAACACAAACCUGCUGCUCCCCCCCAAGCUUUUCAAGUGUCUCUCUCACAUGGAGCAAGAAACGCAACUGGUGCCAUCUCUUCC